Pelobates cultripes (western spadefoot toad) is the source of this 357-nucleotide non-coding RNA. The record is from the annotation of a GenBank genome assembly. NCBI's taxonomy places the organism in Eukaryota, Metazoa, Chordata, Amphibia, Anura, Pelobatidae.
GUGAUUAUCAUAACCACGCCCCCCAAAAAAAAAUGUGCGCAUUGAGCUCUCGUUUAGAGUUCUUCUAACCUCAUGUUGCUGGUACACAUGCGCCGCCUCCUUAAAACGGGUGGGCGCAUAGCGGCCGGCGUCCCUGAUGCUUAAUGCAUUCUUUACCGGCAUGGGAGAGGUGGUCUGACCGAUCCCUAUGUCGGCAGAUCGUUGGACCGUUAAGAUAAGUGGCUGGUGAGCUGGUGGGGACCCAGAAGGUGGAGCGGAAUAACGCACGUAUUGGGGGGACCUGGCGUGGGCUGCUCGUACAAGAACAGAGGAAGUGGACGCCGGACAGAACCUCCGCGCUGACCAGGCACCCGCUGG